UUUGGUUCUGCGAUUUUCGGAACUCGAGUGACUUCAAUUUUCACGUGGUUUUUCUAAUCUCGUCAUGUUUUGUUCAAUUUAUUUGUGAUACUGAAUUAAAAUAACAGCGAUGCAUCGUCUAAUAUCGGCUAGAAACUUAUAUCAGACUUCUUUCCACGGUUUAUCAUUACCAGCAAAUGGUACAGUAAGAAACUCAUCACUUGCCGAUAUAAAAUGUUUGUAUUGCAGGAAGAUUCUUUUGGGUCAGCACGACAUAGAAAACUUACUUUCUGUACGACAUCAAUCUACGAGAACGGCUAGUCUUCUUCGAUCGCUUCGGAAAAAAUCCAAGCA
Molecule: long non-coding RNA, 333 nt
Organism: Ostrinia furnacalis (Asian corn borer)
Lineage: Eukaryota; Metazoa; Arthropoda; Insecta; Lepidoptera; Crambidae
Exons: 2
Source: RefSeq, a predicted model, not a curated record